This is a long non-coding RNA of Taeniopygia guttata (zebra finch), 7205 nucleotides long. The record is from Ensembl. NCBI's taxonomy places the organism in Eukaryota, Metazoa, Chordata, Aves, Passeriformes, Estrildidae.
CUACUUAAUAUGAUUUUUUUUUUUCCGAUGUUGUCUGAAUUUGUUAGUCCCUGUGACUGCUCUUCUGGCAUUUCUUUCUUUUAGGCCUUUUCUGUCAUUUUUGCUGUUGCACUGGGGUGAGGGAUCUGGAUUUGGCAGUAUCCUGAAAGGUAAUGGCAUGGAAUUAGGCCUGUUUUACAGAUGGGUGUGUGAAGUGUGGAAACUGAAAGCUCACACUAAAUCUGCACAACCAAACAUGCAAAAGACUCCUCCUAAGUCCCCUUGUCACUUAGUUACCCAGAGCUUGCUCAUGAAGAGAGGAGAGAAGCCCUAUAGUCAAGAGCCCUUUGAAGAACAUAAAUUAAAUUUCUACUCUGAAUCAGUCUCAAUGGGAAUGAAUGUGGGAGAAGCCUGCUACCCUCAUUAGGGCCUAAAGAUGAGUAGGUGAGGGCUGAUCCUUGUGCAGAUUGCCAUUUCUAAAGAGCUGUCCACAGUUACUUGUUCAGGAUCAAAACAAAACAAAAUCAAUCCAGAUUUCCAGGACGCCUUUCAGCUGUUGAUCUCUUUCCCUUCUCACAGCAUCUUGUGUCUUCUAAACUCAGAUAUUCUGAAACAAGUGAGGCAGUGUCACACAUAAUCUCAACACAGCCAAGGCUCAUUUCCAGGGCAGCUUCAUUCUUUAUCCCAAAUAGGUAGAGGCAGGAAAAACAAAUAUCAACAUAAAAGAUUACUGUUUAAAUAUUAUAAACUACACAUGUGAAAGGAUCUAUUUUAUUAUUGUCACUUUAAAUUUACCAUUUUCUAACUGUUGAAUCUUGAUUUUCUUAUGUGAAUAUUCUUGUAGGGCAGUGAACAAAUGCUGCAGGUUAACAGAGGAAAUAUCAAAAGGACAAAGGUGUGAAAUGUGGACAUGAACCAGUCUUAGAUACAAGUCAUUUGAAAUAAAUGAUUUGUGGCCUCUGUAGCUCAGUAAAAAUAUGUCCUAGCUCAGGUUUUUGUUCCUGUAGGUCCCAUGAAGUUCCCACAAUGUGAGAUCUCUCUGUGAAAGCCUCAGAGCCUGACCCUUCUGAACACAUGCAAUGAUGAAUCUUUUGCUGGUUUGUUCUGGUUUCUUUUCCUGUAGGUGAAGAUGAGGAUGAGUUUGAGAAUUUCCUGCUCCCCCUCACAGUUUGAUUUAAGGUAUCACUCAGAUACUGAACAGUAGUUUUGAACAAGAAGAAACAAAGGCAGGUUUAUUUCUAUUACAGGGUAAGAAACAAUGUGUGGGAAGAGCUGAUUGUGGGGCAAGCACUCAGCAGCAAGCUUGGCACCUCUGCUGCCAGUCUCCCUGGACACCUGUGUAUCUGUAUGUGGGUGUCUAUACCUGAAUACAUCUGUUUAAUUAGGAAUUUAGACAGCAGAGGUACUAAGGUUGUGAAUACUAUCCUAGAUAAACUUUGUACAACGAUUUUUAAAGGCAUUGGGAUUUCUCCAGUGUUUUGCAGAUCAGGGAACCCCAUUUAAGGCUCAUUUAUAAUCAGAGACAAAUUCUUCUUCAGAGAUAGCUUAUCUGUUCCAUAUUCCCAUUUUCUAUACAAGUAUCCUCUUUGUGUAUAUUAACAUAUUUAUGUGGGGGUAUGAGGAGACAUGUAAUACACUUGAUAAAACACUGCUGGUUUAAAGUAUUUUUUUCCAAACAAGAAUUUAUUAUAUAAAUCAAGACUUUAUUAAAUGGCUGGGCAUAUAUGUAUAAAUUGGAACGGGUCUUGAAGUAUUGCACCCUUAAACUGAACAAAGUGAUUAGGAUAACUGAUAGCUAAAUAAGGUUUUUAUGUGCCUGUGGGAGCCAUAUUAGGAUUGAUUUGACAAGGCAGUUCAGCUGUGGCAACAGUCAUAAUAUCUAACACAACAUUAUGUUUUAUUAGUAAAAUCCUUAAGUGUUUGUGUCAAAACAACAGUAUAUUUUAGGGAAGAAAAAGACUUACUGGAUAGAAGGCGCAUCAUCAGGAAUGAUAAUAUAUUGGAGCACUCUUGCAUUAAAGAGAUCUUCUGCCAUCACUGAAUCAAUAGUUAACUGCACACUGGAGUGCUCACUUCAGCUAAACAGGGUCGUUUUGAAGAAAUCCUAACAGUAAUUUUUAAUUUGCUAUUUUAAAAUAUGGUGGCAACUGAAAUAUUGCUUCAUAAUAUUUAUCUGCUUUUUUCACAAGGAAAUAAACAGUUGUGCUGGAAGUAUUUGGUAAAUAAUUGGCUGCAGUACGUGGCUGACAGUACCAGAAGAUGUGCAGUUCAUAGUCAUUGCUUGAAUUAGGACGAUAUUUUUUUUUAAUUGUACUAAGGCUUAUUUCAACAAAUACUUAAAUCUGGUUUCCUCUUUGUUAUUGCUUUAUGUAUUUAAUUGUAAUCACUUUUCAUGUAUAAAAUAGACUCAGUUCACCUGUCUUGGAUUCACCUCUCCUAUGUUCAAGUUAUAAAUCCUAAAAACUAGAACAAGGAGGUCAUUUGGUGGCAUAACCAUUUCUGUAGGAAACUGGAUUCCUCUUGUGUGAGGAUUCAAUUUAUUAGAAUAAUUUUGCCAUUGUCCUGUCUGGAUUGCUUGAAACUGUCUUAGUAGAAAAAUUUUAAUGGAGUGCCAGUGAUAUAUUCCUAAACUAGCAAGUUCUUAACGACCCUGGAAAGUGACUGCUUGAUUACACUUUAACGGUAUUUGCAAAUAAAAUCACAAGUAAUUAAGGGGAAAUCUCCAGGCUUUUGAGCAAGUUUGAUGCAUGAUAACUGCCUGAUUCAGCUUCAUCUAGAGUAAUGCUGUGUAGACAAGAGCUACUGAGAUCAAUAGCAACAUAAUGAUAGUGGCAGAAUUAAGUGAGUAACCUGAGAACUAUGUCUUCACAAUGCAUGCAGCUGCCACCAGCCAGGGCCACACAGUGCACUCCUGCUUCCGUCCUAAAUGUUCAUCAAAAGACGCCCUGCAGGAAAAUGGAGUUAGAUGCUCUUUAUUGCUGAUCGUGUCUCUUGCCACAUUUAUCAGGGAAAUUGGAUUAGCAGUUGGCAGCUGCAGGUAGACAAGGUUCUGUAGUGAUUAAAUAUGCAGCUUGGCUGCAUUUGUUGUGACAGACCUUUAGUAAAUUCUACUGUAAGCACCAUCUGUCUGAUUUGUAUAAGGAAAACUUGGUGCUUUAAGCUACUGAUAAAGAACUAAACGCUUUAUCAUAAAAAAAACCCAAAACUUUUGCUCUAAAUUAUCUUAAACACAAUUUAUUACAUUAAAGCUAUUUUUUUCUAUCAUAAUAAAUAAAUAAUACAUGCAAAAAGGCUUUCAGGUACUUCAUUUUGCAAGUACUGAAAACAAAAACAGUUCAGUUCUUCAAUAAAAUGCUUACUAUUGCCAUCCACGGGGAGAUGACACUGUUAAAAUAUCACUAUGAAAAUGGUCCAGGACUGCCAAACUAAUUUAAUUUGUAGGUUUUACUAGGACUUUCUAACUGGCUAGGGUUUUUUUAGGUUUUUAAUAUUUCUGAAAUACGCCUGAUAAACAGUUGUAACAAGAGAGAUCUUUCUUUUAAAAAUAAAUUUGUAACCAUUAUAUCUGCAUACUAAGCAUAUGGUUAGGUUUCUUUUUCAGGGAUAUCAAAUGUAAUUGAAGAUGGCUGAAGUCAUUAUGCAUGUUGCUUUACUUUUUUCUUUUUCUUUUUCUUUUUUUUCUUUUGUCUUGCAACUUUCUUCUUCAUGUUUUUAUAUUAAUAGGAAAAAUGUCCAGUAUUAAAACUGCCUAAUUUUCUCCUAAGAAUGUCAAGAUUUCUCUUGACAAUGUGGGUAAGGAAUCUAUUGCCUGGGCAGUUCGAAUCUCAGCAGUACUUUGUUUAUAGUUGUGACAUCAUCAGAUUUGCUACGAAUGCAUGGAAAAGGGAUCUGAAGAAAAAGCAGUUAAAUAGCAACAUGCUAUCUUUAGCUGGUUUGUAGAAACUCCAUGCUGUUAAAUUAUUUAAAAUCGUUGAUUUUCAGCUUGCACACAUUAAAAGUUUUCACACUAAGUGCCAAAUGUUGCAAACAGCACUUUAACAGAAUGAUUUUGCUUUGAUCCCUGUAGCAGUUCCUGAAUAAUUUAUCACAGGUUAUUGCCUUAAUUCUGGAGAGGGAUAGAGCAAUAAAGGCAGAUGAAAACACUCCAGUUGAAACACCUUGGGGCCUGCUCAUUCCUCUGACACGGCUCUUUUGUUGGAACUAUUUAGAGGUUAUUAAGACGUGUCUCUAGAAUUAAGAGUAUGCUGUAAGGAUGAAGACAGCCAUCUUAAUUCUAAAGACAAAGCACAAUGACCCUUCACCUUUUUUUUCCUUUGUUGUUAUUAUAUAGUAGAAUUAUGAGGGUAAUAUUAUAGCUGCACCCAGUAGUGCCACUAUAGUUAAGGGUCUGUCAGACUUUCCAUUACCAGCCCUGUUUUGGGGAUGGUGGGUGUGAGCAGACUCAUGUGUUUUAGGUGGCCUCAGUCAGACACUUGGCACAUUUUGGCAAGUCAGAGGGGCUUUUCUGGGAAUAUUUACAUCUCCAGCUUCUCUCCCUUUAAAAAAAAUCAUUGAAAAAUGAGCUUCAGGACUCUGAAACAAAAUACCUGAAUUUAUUUUUUAAAUGUCUUUUUUAUAAUUAAAUCUUAAGGAAACCUGUCACUGACAUUCAGAGAAGGAUAUUCUGAAGCUGAAAUCUGCACAAAAUUGCCUCAUUAGUGAGAAGAGGACUGUAUAAAACCCCAGAAUGCUGACAAGCUCCUUUUGCUGUGUUUCCUGUAUUUGCUGUUCUUUACUCCUCCUCUCACUCUUUGACCACUGCUGGUGGUGCCAUUUGCUGUCCCAUUGCCCCAGGAAGGGCAGGGAUGCAGCUGGGAAAGGAGCAGCAGCCUCAGGUAUUCCUGCCAUCACUGGGAAAUUUGAAGGGCACUCUGGAUCCCAUGGGAUGUAAAAACAGAUGUAAAAGUAUGUAAUCUCGUUGGUCAUUAAUACAUUUUAUGUACAUAAGUGCUAUUUGGUUACUUACAGUAGACUAAAACUAGAUUCUCUUGGGAUUUUAGGAGUUUGGGGGUAGGUCCUUACUGAAUGUGAAAUAAGCAAACAUGGAAUAUAGCUUGAUUUUUGCUCCUAUUGGAGUUUAAGAGUAUUUUGCACCAGUGGCUUAAAUGGAUCAGGAUUCAGCUCGGGAUUCUGGAGGCUAUUCUGUGGGCUGUUCAUCUGGUGCUGGCUGUGGCAGUGAUCUUACACAGCUGAGUUCCGAUGGAUCCUAUCUGAAUCACUGCUUUGCUGGGAUUUUACAGAACAAGAAUAUUAAAUCUAAAUCUUAGAUUUUGCAGAUUGAGGUAAUUUAUUAAGAAGUGUGGUUAUGGGCUUUUAAGUAACAAUAUCUCAAUUUAAAGAAUAGAAAACCAGAAAAUGUGGGUUUUGUACACGUUGUUCUUUCACUGGAAUUCAAGGUGUCUGAAGCUGCCUAGUGUUCAUGUAGGCUCCCAGCAACCUGGGACUGCAGUUCAAGGAAAGUUGGGCAUCUACUUUUAUUAAUAGUUUUUGAAGUCGCGCAGCCAAACUGUUUCUUAAAUAGAUUUGCAAAAGAGUGUUUUCUUAAGCUGUUUUUUGUAGCGAGAAUAAACCUGGUGGUGGCCUGUGGGUUGGGUUGUCCUUUUCUAGCCCAUGUCCCACAAAGCCACAUGAAGGGAGCUUUUUGUCCCCAGCAGUGCCCGCUCAAGGGAGAGUUCCUGUCUUGCCAUGGCCAUGGUGGCUCCCCUUCUCCCUUGCCCCAGACUUGCUUUGUGCAGCCUUGUUAUCUCCUUUUUUGUGGCUGGUAUGGGCAAGGGAGCCAAAAUCAGAGUGGAACAUUUCCACUUCUUGUAUCGAUUGCUGCAUCCCUGGCUGCCUUCAGAGAUAUGUAUAAAGUAUUGCUGCCAAGUUCUUUUAAUUCUUGAUGUUUUGGCCACCUUUUCUGCUGAACAGUGAUUUUCUGUGCAGACAAAACAGUACACCAAGUAUGAAAAUACAGAUGGCUAUAAAGUUACAAUUUUAUAUUGCAUCUUCUCAGUAUUGAACACUUCCUCUCUAGUGAUUUCAGAGUCCCAUUAAAGUUAAUGAGAGUGGAGACCUCUGAGCAUCUUUGUGAGUUCAGGCCAUUUCAAUGCACAACAGAAAGGAAAUGCAAAUAUUAAAAUACUCCCAGCAACCUCAGUAUUCUUUGGUAAAGAACUCCAUUUGUUCUGGGAUAAAUCUAUGUCUAUGUCACCCAGGUCAGCCAGGCUGAUUGGUUUAUAUAUGAAAAGUAGAAAUUAGCCCUGGUCUGAGCUCACAUGGAGCAGUUUACAAGGCAUCAGCCAUAAUGUAUUCUUUGUGUGAUCAAGUAAAAAAGUAUGUGACUGUUAUUUUUUGUAUUUGUCAGCACUAAAAACAUUGCAGUGGUAGCACCAAGUAGUACAUUACUGAAAACACUGGGUUUAAAGAGGGAACUCCUUACUUUUUGCCAUGGUUCUAUGAUUGGUUUUUUUCCCCAGACUCUGUAGAACUGUAACCUUUUUUUGUAAAAAAAGAGAAGUACAAUCCCACAUGCAACUUAGAGAAGAAUACUUAUGUGUGAGUAAAUCAAAAAGUUUGUUUAUGUUGUUAAAAUAUUUUUCAUGCACUGGUGUUUCUUAUUGAUGUCUAUUAAUUAUCCUGAAAACAUCCCCUUGGUAGGGGCUAAUUAUCUGCAUACAGUAUGGUCUGCAUGGGAGCAGGUAGGAUUCUGCAGCCACACUUCAGUCAUCAAAGGGGAAAAAAUGCACCUCAGAACUAAUGUUAACACAGGCAGAGAUUUGCAUAGCUUCCUCUAAACUGAGAAGUCAUUUUUUGAAGACAACUUACUUGGAAAAUUACUUAAAAGAACCCCAAGAAAACAACGAAAGCUAUGUUAAAAUAACAGUACGAUGGGAAUCUCAAUGCAGCCUUAAUUGGAGCUUGUUAUGAGUAUCAGUUAGUCUUACACCAUUCAAAAUAUUACAAGCUUAAAUUAACAUUUUAUUGUUAUUAUCCCUUUAAAUGUAUUAAUACAGGAAGCACUUUUAAACGUUAAUACAUAGUAUUCAUAUAUAAUGUUUUAAUUUGUAUUAUUCAUUGUGAGAGCAUAUUGAAUAAUCCAAAGCAUUUCCUAAGCAUUUUCCUAAUGUCAGCACUAGAAAACUUGUGGAAAUCUUUUUUCAUUCGAGGAUCUUUGUAUUUUUUCUGAAGAAAAAAAAAAAAAAAAA